RNAcentral lists this ribosomal RNA (450 nucleotides) under uncultured bacterium. Its description in RNAcentral is "bacterial SSU rRNA". It matches the Rfam family "Bacterial small subunit ribosomal RNA", at positions 29 to 524 of the family's 1533-position model. The record is from RNAcentral.
AACGAACGCUGGCGGCAUGCCUAACACAUGCAAGUCGAACGAGACCUUCGGGUCUAGUGGCGCACGGGUGCGUAACGCGUGGGAACCUGCCUUUAGGUUCGGAAUAACUCAGAGAAAUUUGAGCUAAUACCGGAUAAUGUCUUCGGACCAAAGAUUUAUCGCCUUUAGAUGGGCCCGCGUAAGAUUAGCUAGUUGGUGGGGUAAAGGCCUACCAAGGCGACGAUCUUUAGCUGGUCUGAGAGGAUGAUCAGCCACACUGGGACUGAGACACGGCCCAGACUCCUACGGGAGGCAGCAGUGGGGAAUAUUGGACAAUGGGCGAAAGCCUGAUCCAGCAAUGCCGCGUGAGUGAUGAAGGCCUUAGGGUUGUAAAGCUCUUUUGUCCGGGAAGAUAAUGACUGUACCGGAAGAAUAAGCCCCGGCUAACUUCGUGCCAGCAGCCGCGGUAAU